Molecule: long non-coding RNA, 579 nt
Organism: Aquila chrysaetos chrysaetos
Lineage: Eukaryota; Metazoa; Chordata; Aves; Accipitriformes; Accipitridae
Exons: 3
Source: RefSeq, a predicted model, not a curated record
CACCACACCCAUGAGUUAUGGGAGAGGACACAUUUGGGACAGCUGAUGUGAACUGGCCAAAGGGACAUUCCAUACCAUAUCACAUCAUGUUCAGUUAAUAAAACCAGGGUAGCAGAAUAGGAAAGGGCAGGGGGUUGUCUUCCAAGGUGGCCAUCACUCGGGGACUAGCUGGGCAUUGGUCUGCUUGUGAGAGGUAGUGAGUGAUUGCCUUAGCAUCAUUUAUUUCUUUUCCCCUUUCCUUCAGUUAUUAAACUGUCUUUAUUUCAACCCCUAGGUUUUCUUACUUUUGCUCUUCCUAUUUUCUUCCCAAUCCGACUGGUGGUGGGGCAGAGGUGGGGGAGCAAACAAGCAUCUGUAUGGGUGCUUAGCUGCUGGUCAAGGUUAACUCACCACACCUUUAAACACCUAUUUACAGAGUUACAUGGUUUAUGCCACCACAGCACAGGGGAAUGAAAAAGGGAAAGGCCAACACAUUGCUUUAAACGGCCAUCACUGUUUUUUGCGUUUUUCCUACAAUUUUCUGUGCCAUCCAACAAUCCCCAAGUAUCUGAAGUUAAAACAAACAUUCCACUUCAGUCA